RNAcentral lists this ribosomal RNA (289 nucleotides) under uncultured bacterium. RNAcentral describes it as "partial 16S ribosomal RNA". It matches the Rfam family "Bacterial small subunit ribosomal RNA", at positions 28 to 309 of the family's 1533-position model. The record is from RNAcentral.
GACGAACGCUGGCGGCGUGCUUAACACAUGCAAGUCGAGCGGUAAGGCCCUUUCGGGGGUACGACGAGCGGCGAACGGGUGAGUAACACGUGGGUGGACCUCGCCCUCCAGCUCUGGGAGUAAGACCUCGGGAAACCGGGGUACUAAUACCGGAUAUGACUCCAUGACGCAUGUUGUGGGGUGGAAAGCCUUGUGCGGCUGAGGAUGGGCCCGCGGCCUAUCAGCUUGUUGGUGGGGUGAUGGCCUACCAAGGCGACGACGGGUAGCCGGCCUGAGAGGGCGACCGGCC